This 375-nucleotide ribosomal RNA is filed under the name Ixodes ricinus (castor bean tick). Its description in RNAcentral is "partial large subunit ribosomal RNA". Lineage: Eukaryota; Metazoa; Arthropoda; Arachnida; Ixodida; Ixodidae. The record is from RNAcentral.
GGUAUUUUGACUAUACGAAGGUAUUGAAAUAAGAUUUUAAAUGAGUGCUAAGAGAAUGAUUAAACAAUUAAAAGCUUUCUUUAAUUGAAUAAUUGAAUUUAAUUUUUUAGUGCAAAAGCAAAAAUAAAAAUUAGGGACAAGAAGACCCUAUGAAUUUUUUAUUAAAUUUUGUAAAACUUUAUAUAAAAUUUAAUUUAAUUGGGGUGAUGGAAAAAGAAUAAAUAUCUUUUUUUUAAAAAAAAAUUGGUUCCGUUUUUAGCGAUUAAAUGAAAAAAAUACUCUAGGGAUAACAGCGUAAUAAUUUUGGAUAGUUCAUAUAGAUAAAAUAGUUUGCGACCUCGAUGUUGGAUUAGGAUUCUUUUUUGGUGAAGAAGU